RNAcentral lists this unclassified non-coding RNA (204 nucleotides) under plant metagenome. RNAcentral describes it as "partial contains small subunit ribosomal RNA and internal transcribed spacer 1". The stretch from base 1 to 46 matches the Rfam family "Eukaryotic small subunit ribosomal RNA", at positions 1786 to 1831 of the family's 1831-position model. The record is from RNAcentral.
AAGUCGUAACAAGGUUUCUGUAGGUGAACCUGCAGAAGGAUCAUUAGUGAAUGCCUGGGCUGUCAUACGGACUGCGGUCUCUGACGCCCACCCACUAUAUCCGCAAACCCUGUGCACUGUGGUGUUGUCGUGGACACACCUCGCCAACCAACUCGUCUUUGUAUCUGUACGUGUCUACUUGGCCUAAGCCAAAAAUCAACACAA